Molecule: long non-coding RNA, 1066 nt
Organism: Amphiprion ocellaris (clown anemonefish)
Lineage: Eukaryota; Metazoa; Chordata; Actinopteri; Pomacentridae
Source: Ensembl
UAGUGUAAAAAAUAGUUUUAGUGUUUAUGGCUCAGAUUACAGACUUGUCUUUUCUGCAUUAAUGACAUGAUGAUUCAUUGCUUUAGCACUCAAAUGGAAAAACCGUGAAGUGAAAAGGAAAGAAUUGCAUAUAUACAGUGCACGUUAUACAAUCAGACUGUCAAAGCAGUGUAUUUCAGUAGUAACAGAAGAACAAUCAUACAUAAAAUCCCUGUGAGAGAUGAACCCUGUUAACAAAAAACAAAAGAAAGAAACUGCCAUCCAGUGGCGUCGUAGUGAUACUUGAUUCACAUCUUAUUAUGUUAACAACAUUUAAAUGCUGAUGGCUGUAUAAUACAAAAGUUCACAUUAACUUGCUUUCUUCCUGAUUCAGGUCCAAACCACAUCUGCGCCGGACAGAAACGGAUGAAUGACAGUUUCAGGGUCACACCCUCUGAUGUCCGUUGAACUGCCCAGUGGGUAAGAAAGGAUGCAGUUCUUUCUCAUUCCAGGACGAAGGGUUGUUUCUUUGCAUCUCUGUCACAAGUCAAGAAAAGGCAUAAAUAAUGAUUAAUUGAUGUGUUACAAACUAUUUAGAAUAACCUUUGGUUUGCCUGGUUGUGAAAAAAAAACUGUGCUUUUUACUUAUUUUUUAAUAACAAAGUUAUAAUGUUGCUGAUUGAAAAAUACAUUACAGUUCUGAAUGUUUACAAAGUGGUUAUUUAAACACAUCAAUGAAUGGCUUUAAAAUAUAAGGUGUAUUUAACAAUUUGGUGAGCCAAAAUAUGCCUUAGUGAUGGCCUAACUGAGCAAUAGAAUCAAAUUGUUAGUUUAAAUUAAGUCAUCAGUAAACAACUUAUAAAGCAUUUGGGGCUUUUUUAAAAGUGGUACCAAAAGUUGACAUUGUAUAAAGUAUUAUUUUGUAAAUGAGGGGCUAUUACUUGACAGCAACAAUGCAAUUUUAUUUACAUAGCAGUUAUUAAUGUCACGUCAAACAUUGCAUGCAGCACCCAAAUGAUAAUCAUGUACACUACCAGUCAAAAGUUUGGACCCACCUUCUCAUUCAAUGCUUUUUAUUUAAUUAUUU